Molecule: ribosomal RNA, 537 nt
Filed under: uncultured Ascomycota
Lineage: Eukaryota; Fungi; Ascomycota
Description: SSU rRNA
Rfam family: Eukaryotic small subunit ribosomal RNA
Source: RNAcentral
GCAAGUCUGGUGCCAGCAGCCGCGGUAAUUCCAGCUCCAAUAGCGUAUAUUAAAGUUGUUGUGGUUAAAAAGCUCGUAGUUGAACCUUGGGCCUGGCUGGCCGGUCCGCCUCACCGCGUGUACUGGUCCGGCCGGGCCUUUCCCUCUGUGGAACCCCAUGCCCUUCACUGGGUGUGGCGGGGAAACAGGACUUUUACUUUGAAAAAAUUAGAGUGCUCCAGGCAGGCCUAUGCUCGAAUACAUUAGCAUGGAAUAAUAGAAUAGGACGUGUGGUUCUAUUUUGUUGGUUUCUAGGACCGCCGUAAUGAUUAAUAGGGACAGUCGGGGGCAUCAGUAUUCAAUUGUCAGAGGUGAAAUUCUUGGAUUUAUUGAAGACUAACUACUGCGAAAGCAUUUGCCAAGGAUGUUUUCAUUAAUCAGGAACGAAAGUUAGGGGAUCGAAGACGAUCAGAUACCGUCGUAGUCUUAACCAUAAACUAUGCCGACUAGGGAUCGGACGAUGUUAUUUUUUGACUCGUUCGGCGCCUUACGGGAAAC